UGUCCUCAAACAUCGGAUCUAGACGAACCCCCCUUGCCUCUCAACGGAUGAAGGGAGUGCUGUUGGCUGGGUGUGGCUGAAAUUACGGCCGGCGGCGCGGAUUUUGCCGGAGUAGCCCUUGCCUCUACCAGGGAUGUACGAAGGGGAGUGGUGCUGGCUGGGGCGUCAUCGCCAGAUACCUCACGAUCGGCAAAUACGCACAGCGUGUCAGCGCCGGCGCCGGCGCCCCCGUCUACAUCUCCACCAUCCUUGAGUACCUCGCCGCUGAGAUCUCGCCUGAAACGCGGCGUGCGAAAACAAGAAGAAUUGCAUCGUGCCCCGGCACAUCCAGAUGGUUGCUCGGCAUGGUUACCAUCGCCACGGCGGCGUCCUGUCCAACAUCCACACCACGCUGCUCCCCAAGAAGGCCGGCAAGAAAAGGGCGACAUCGGAUCCACGCCGGCAAGAACAUGAACAAGCAAGGUGCAGAAAAUGACUUGGAAUUCACAAUUGUGAGGCCUUUCAGUGGGAUUGGACCAAGGAUGGACUUCAUUCCUGGCGUUGAUGGUCCCAGCAACGGCAUUCCUGGAGUAUGUAAACUCUUUCCUUGCUGAGAAUGAGUACCUUCAUUGCACCAUGUUUAUAUAGUCUUCUGAAGAGGAUAACAAUAUGCUGUCAAUAUGGGUUAGGCUCUGCCACCGCUGGCUUCCACGAUGCCUCCUUAUUGUAUGAUGCCGCACCCACUCGCUGGACAGGACAUCAUCUGCCGCCUCUCUACCUACUCCGCCUCCGCUCGAGCUCAGCCAGGACAUGAGAACGUAUCCAGGUGUUGGCACGUCCAUCGCCUCCAUGCGGGUUGAGCUACACGAAGAGACCGGGUCCAGGGUCGUGGACGACCGUGAUCCUGUGUUUAUCGCCGUCCAUUCCCCUUACGAUGGGUUCGUCCCCAUCUCUCACGAUCGGCGCCUCCACAUCGAUCCAGGGCAACACGCACAUCCUCCACAUCGACGUCCGAUGAUGCAAACCUCUGAAGGACUACGGACGGCGACGACCACCUGCGGCCGGAAACCCUGCUCGACGGCUUUCUCUCCAACAUGCUCUCCUGGCUUUGCAACUCCAUCCGGACCGGUUCAUCCUCUCCAGAGAAGGUAAAAUCCUCCAUUGCUUCUCUAUUACUAUUUUUUGUUGCAAUAGUAGGAUGGGUAGAGGAUUCUAUUGGCUUUCAAAGUUGUGCGAAUGAACUUUGAAGUUAACUACGGACUACAAUUAUCAUUAUGUCUUCCUGAUGAGCUCAAUGUGCACAUUGUCGUUCAGGGAACACAAGGCAAGAGUUUUCUUCAGCGUUUCAAGUUAUCUAAAAUCUUUAGGUAUAACAUUUGAAUGGCUUUGUCUAUGUAUCGUUCAGCAUGUUCAGAUUUUCUCCGGUUUCAACUUAGUGGCUUCUCAUAUUCUUCAUUUAUAGAAUAAAUAGCUCCCCUGUGAUAUUAUUUUAGUGAAGAAAUUUGCAGGCGUAGAUAGGUUGUAGACAGGAGGAAAUAGGAUGCUCUAUGUAUUAUUAAGAUAUGGCAAUAAGGUGCCAGCAUUUGUGUGUUCUUUACUCGAACUGUUUACAAUCUGCGGCAGCUCCUAGCUAAAUCUGAAUUCAUUAGACUGUACCACUUCAUUUACUGUAUUGAGAAUGUUUGUGCUAAAAUCUAAAUUCAUUAGCAAAAUUGCCUCUCCCCAACUGUGGAUCUUUUGAGUUUCUACCAGCUGAAGGUGCAAAAAAAGACUUGGAAUUCACAAUUGUGAGGCCUUUUAGUUGGAUUGGACCAAGGAUGGACUUCAUUCCUGGCGUUGAUGGUCCCAGCAAGGGCAUUCCUGGACUGGAGUAUGUAAACUACGGCUAUGUAUUAUUGGCAAUAAGGUGCCAAUAUUUGUGUGUUCUUUACUCGAAUUAUUUACAAUCUGCGGCUGCUUCUAGCUAAUUCUGAUUACCUAUAUAGAAUUUUCAACAGAGCAUGGUUACUAUAGUAUCUUGAUCUUAUUUUCUGUUUCAUAGGACUUACUGCACUCUAUGCUGGACUAAGUAGAAGUGGCAUCGGCACCGAAGAACAUCAGUUUACCUUUAAGAGAUCUAUGAAAUUUCUGAGGGUUAUGGUGUGUUACGAAUUAUUGUUGGAUUCAAGGAGAAUUAUUUUUGUUCAGGAUUUACCAGUCCAAAUUGUGAGUUAACUAUACACUCCAAAUCAAUAUAUUUAAAAGGGUUAGUAUGCUCCACAUUGUCAAGGUAUGCAUUUAUCCUGUACUGUUGAGUUCUCAUGUGUGUGUUAGUACCCUUCAGAAAGCAUGUUACUUGUAGUUCGAAAUUAUGAUCCAUGGUCUGCAUUGAACUAUUUUUUUUGAACUUGCUACUGCUCUAGCAGUUCUGCGCAGAUUAAUAAUGUGUAGUAUGCAACGUAAAUAUGAAUACUUUUAUGGAAUGAGAAUAUAUGGCGUUUAAAUGAUAAUAAUCAUGAUUUCGUGUUGUGGAUUUAUAUCCGGAUCUCUGAAAUUAUAUGUACUUGCAUUGUUGGAAAUAUAUGAGUGAAAAGGUAACUACACAAAGUGCAUGAAGUACGGGUUAUACAUUCAAUACUAUAAGAUAGUGAAACGGUAUGAUUAUUUGCUGGCUAGAUAGUGAAACGGUUUGAUUAUUUUCUGGCUAGAUCUGUGUUCAUAGGGUGAAGAAUUGUAUUUGAGUAGAAAGUGAAUAGCUAUGGGUUAAACUUUUUAGCAAAAAGAAAUCUACGGCCGGUCUGUCAGAUAGGUUUGAUGAAUUAACGAAGAUUCAUUAUCAAUAUGAUACAUGCUUAUUUAUUUUUUGAAAUAUGUUUAUAAUAUAAUAAUAACGUGAGAUUUUUUUACAGUUUGAAAAAUCAAAUUUAAUCUAUUUGUUGUAUGUUAACAAUACCAUCUCAUUUGGCUCCCUGUAGAUUCUUUGGAUCUUUGUAUUUAGUUAUCUCGAAACCGGACCAAAUACAAGAUUUAAUUAACAUGAACUCUUCUCAGCACUUUGGACUCUUUGAUUGGCAUGUUCAUGUCUUGAUCGUUCUUCAUGAUCAAUAUACUUUGGUCUACUAAAAAUUUCUUGAAAUCCCCAUUGAGAUGUUAGUAACCCUUUUGACUUCUAUAUGUAGUAAAGUUAAUGCGACAACAAAGACUUAUGGUCUACAUGUGCAGCUGAGGAAAAAGCGCGAAAGUACUGGCCAAACAGAGCCAAUGCUUGUGUCAGCUCGCCACCCCAUAGUGCAAUUUGCAGUUCAAGUCUUGUGCUUCAAGCCAAGACCAGGACCUAAUUUUCCCAUGUAAGUCUGCAGCUUAUCCAUACAAUGGUAGAAUACCUCAUCUACGAAGAGAGGCUUGCAUCUCGAAAACAUAUUGAGGUCUUCGAUCUCCCGGUUUUGAAAACAUCCGCCCGCUGAUCGUCUUGCAAUAGGCCUAAGCUCGGUAUACGCAGUGUGUAGUAAUUUUUCUAGCCAAACAAUCAACAUAAAAACUACUAUUCUACCACCGUAGUGCAAUAAGUUUGCACACGAGAGAAUUCUAAAAUUACAUAAUAUAAGUAUCUAUUGUGCCAUCGUGAAGAAGGCUUCCUUAUAUCAAUCUGGACCAGAAUUGUGGGGAAUUUAAACUCAUCUUGUUUCUUAACAUGCGAGUCUCACCACCUUCAUCAUUAUAUUUUGUCUUCUUUUCCUCAGUCAUUCCAAAUUUUGUAGGAACAGUGCUUCCGUGUGUUCCUCUAAUAUGCAGAUAUUCAUGUUUGGGGUAAUUUCGCGAUUGCUGCACAUUUGUGAAACUACUGGGAGAAGUACACUUGGCUAGAUAUCUUUUAGCAGCACAUCUAAACAUCACGUUAUUUGUAAGAUUUCUAGAAGAAGAUUCAAUGUUAUGCAUUUUCGUGCAUAUAAUAAUGGCAACAUUUCAGCUCUCCCAAUGUGAGAUGCAAAGCUCAUCCUAACCAAAAUAGUUGUUGAACCAUCUCAAUUGUAGAAAUAUAGGUUUUUUUUGCUGCAUCUCUGUUUUAUGAAACAAAAAAUAUUUGUAGUCAUAUGUUUGUUAUAGGUAAAGGGUUCCUUCAUUGUUUUUGUAUUGAAUUGUGGUUUAUAUUUAAUGGAUAGUUAAAAGGAUUGUAUACUAGAUUCGAUUUUUUUUUUCUUUUGGAUCAACCCUUGCAAUGGAAUCUUUUCCACAAGACUACAACCCUGAGUAAUUUACCAUGAUGUUUUAUGAUCACAAAGGUGCAAGGCAGGGUUGUCUGCAGAGCAGGCAGGCGAAUCCAAUUGAUGUCACUACCGUUUCUUGUCUCCAUUGCUGAAUGUUGUGACAUCACUGUAUAUCAUUGAUAAAUUGCUGUGCAGAGAUUCCUUAGAUUUAUUGCAACACACGAUCUCGGUGCAGGGGCGGCUUAACCAGAGGGUAAGAAUGACAUGAGAUGUAGAGGGCGGGAGAUAGUAUGGAGCUUGGAGGAUGUAUUAGAUGGUACCACCUCCGAAUAAGGCGUCAUCAUUUUAUGAGCUUUUUAUUUGACCAAGAAUUACUACAAAUAUAUA
This is a non-coding RNA of Lolium perenne, 4550 nucleotides long. NCBI's taxonomy places the organism in Eukaryota, Viridiplantae, Streptophyta, Magnoliopsida, Poales, Poaceae. The record is from RefSeq and is a predicted model, not a curated record.